This 639-nucleotide ribosomal RNA is filed under the name Escherichia coli. Its description in RNAcentral is "partial 23S ribosomal RNA". It matches the Rfam family "Bacterial large subunit ribosomal RNA", at positions 1987 to 2625 of the family's 2925-position model. Lineage: Bacteria; Pseudomonadati; Pseudomonadota; Gammaproteobacteria; Enterobacterales; Enterobacteriaceae. The record is from RNAcentral.
CCUGCACGAAUGGCGUAAUGAUGGCCAGGCUGUCUCCACCCGAGACUCAGUGAAAUUGAACUCGCUGUGAAGAUGCAGUGUACCCGCGGCAAGACGGAAAGACCCCGUGAACCUUUACUAUAGCUUGACACUGAACAUUGAGCCUUGAUGUGUAGGAUAGGUGGGAGGCUUUGAAGUGUGGACGCCAGUCUGCAUGGAGCCGACCUUGAAAUACCACCCUUUAAUGUUUGAUGUUCUAACGUUGACCCGUAAUCCGGGUUGCGGACAGUGUCUGGUGGGUAGUUUGACUGGGGCGGUCUCCUCCUAAAGAGUAACGGAGGAGCACGAAGGUUGGCUAAUCCUGGUCGGACAUCAGGAGGUUAGUGCAAUGGCAUAAGCCAGCUUGACUGCGAGCGUGACGGCGCGAGCAGGUGCGAAAGCAGGUCAUAGUGAUCCGGUGGUUCUGAAUGGAAGGGCCAUCGCUCAACGGAUAAAAGGUACUCCGGGGAUAACAGGCUGAUACCGCCCAAGAGUUCAUAUCGACGGCGGUGUUUGGCACCUCGAUGUCGGCUCAUCACAUCCUGGGGCUGAAGUAGGUCCCAAGGGUAUGGCUGUUCGCCAUUUAAAGUGGUACGCGAGCUGGGUUUAGAACGUCGUGAG